Molecule: ribosomal RNA, 464 nt
Filed under: uncultured bacterium
Lineage: Bacteria
Description: bacterial SSU rRNA
Rfam family: Bacterial small subunit ribosomal RNA
Source: RNAcentral
CCUACGGGAGGCAGCAGUGGGGAAUAUUGCACAAUGGCGCAAGCCUGAUGCAGCCAUGCCGCGUGUAUGAAGAAGGCCUUCGGGUUGUAAAGUACUUUCAGCGGGGAGGAAGGCGUUGUGGUUAAUAACCGCAGCAAUUGACGUUACCCGCAGAAGAAGCACCGGCUAACUCCGUGCCAGCAGCCGCGGUAAUACGGAGGGUGCAAGCAUUAAUCGGAAUUACUGGGCGUAAAGCGCACGCAGGCGGUCUGUCAAGUCGGAUGUGAAAUCCCCGGGCUCAACCUGGGAACUGCAUUCGAAACUGGCGGGCUAGAGUCUUGUAGAGGGGGGUAGAAUUCCAGGUGUAGCGGUGAAAUGCGUAGAGAUCUGGAGGAAUACCGGUGGCGAAGGCGGCCCCCUGGACAAAGACUGACGCUCAGGUGCGAAAGCGUGGGGAGCAAACAGGAUUAGAUACCCGAGUAGUC